AUGCUCACUUUGGCAGCAUAUAUACUAAAAUUGAAGUUAUAAAGAGAAGGUUAGCAUGGCCCCUGCACAAAGAUGACAUCCAAAUUACCUUAAGUUUUAUAAACCAAU
Molecule: small nuclear RNA, 108 nt
Organism: Erinaceus europaeus (western European hedgehog)
Lineage: Eukaryota; Metazoa; Chordata; Mammalia; Eulipotyphla; Erinaceidae
Source: Ensembl